Molecule: RNA transcript, 11314 nt
Organism: Pseudopipra pipra
Lineage: Eukaryota; Metazoa; Chordata; Aves; Passeriformes; Pipridae
Gene: SOS1
Gene name: SOS Ras/Rac guanine nucleotide exchange factor 1
Exons: 25
Source: RefSeq, a predicted model, not a curated record
CGCUCCCGCUGAGCGCCCGCCGGGCCCUCCCGCCGCGGCUCCCGGCCCGCGCCCCGGCGGCACCAUGCAGGCGCAGCCGCUGCUCUACGACUUCUUCAGCGAGGAGAACGCGCCCAAGUGGCGGGGGCUGCUGGUGCCCGCCCUCAAGAAGGUUCAGGUGCAAGUCCAUCCUAAACUUUCCUCUACUGAAGAUGCGUUGCAGUAUGUGGAGGAGUUAAUUCUUCAGUUGUUAAAUAUGUUGUGUCAAGCUCAACCAAGAAGUUUUCUGGAUGUAGAGGAUCGUGUUCAAAAAAGUUUUCCCCAUCCUAUUGAUAAGUGGGCAAUAGCUGAUGCCCAGUCUGCUAUUGAGAAGAGGAAACGAAGAAAUCCGUUAUCUCUUCCAGUAGAAAAAAUCCAUCCCUUGUUAAAGGAAGUUCUAGGCUACAAAAUUGACCACCAAGUGUCUGUUUACAUAGUAGCAGUAUUAGAAUACAUUUCUGCAGACAUCUUAAAAUUGGUUGGGAAUUACGUGCGGAAUAUAAGACAUUAUGAAAUUACAAAACAAGAUAUUAAAGUAGCAAUGUGUGCUGAUAAGGUAUUAAUGGAUAUGUUCCAUCAAGAUGUAGAAGAUUUAAGUGCACUAACUUUAUCUGAUGAAGAACCCUCCACCUCAGGGGAGCAAACCUAUUAUGACCUAGUGAAGUCAUUUAUGGCAGAAGUUCGACAAUACAUAAGGGAACUAAAUCUCAUUAUCAGAGUUUUUAGAGAGCCAUAUGCCUCCAACUCCAAACUGUUUUCAUCUCAUGAUGUGGAAAAUAUAUUUAGUCGUAUAUCAGACAUUCAUGAACUUAGCGUGAAGUUACUGGGUCAUAUAGAAGACACUGUUGAAAUGACAGAUGAAGGUAGUCCUCACCCACUAGUAGGCAGCUGUUUUGAAGACAUGGCAGAGGAACUAGCAUUUGAUCCAUAUGAAUCGUAUGCACAAGAUAUUUUGCGACCUGGGUUUCAUGAUCAUUUUCUAAGUCAACUAUCAAAGCCAGGAGCAGCAUUUUAUUUACAGUCAAUAGGUGAAGGCUUUAAAGAAGCUGUCCAGUAUGUUCUACCCCGGCUGCUCCUUGCCCCUGUUUACCACUGUCUCCAUUAUUUUGAACUGCUAAAACAAUUGGAAGAAAGAAGUGAGGAUGAAGAGGAUAAAGAGUGCUUAAAGCAAGCAAUAACUGCCUUACUCAAUCUUCAAAGCAGUAUGGAACGGAUAUGCUCCAAAAGCCUUGCAAAACGAAGGCUUAGUGAAUCUGCAUGCCGGUUCUAUACUCAGCAGAUGAAGGGGAAACAGCUAGCAAUUAAGAAAAUGAAUGAAAUCCAGAAAAAUAUUGAUGGUUGGGAGGGUAAAGACAUUGGACAAUGCUGUAACGAGUUCAUCAUGGAAGGAACACUCACACGUGUAGGAGCAAAGCACGAGAGACACAUAUUUCUAUUUGAUGGCUUGAUGAUUUGCUGUAAGUCAAAUCAUGGCCAGCCAAGACUUCCUGGUGCUAGCAAUGCAGAAUACCGACUAAAGGAAAAGUUCUUCAUGCGAAAGGUACAAAUCAAUGAUAAAGAUGACACUAAUGAGUACAGACAUGCUUUUGAAAUCAUCUUAAAAGAUGAGAACAGUGUUAUUUUUGCUGCUAAAUCAGCUGAAGAGAAAAACAACUGGAUGGCAGCAUUGAUAUCUUUGCAAUAUAGAAGCACGCUGGAAAGGAUGUUGGAUGUAACAAUGUUGCAGGAAGAAAAAGAGGAGCAGAUGAGAUUUCCAAAUCCUGAGCUUUAUAGAUUUGCAGAACCCGACUCUGAAGAGAAUAUUGUGUUUGAAGAAAACAUGCAGCCCAAAUCUGGAAUCCCCAUCAUCAAGGCAGGAACUGUUGUGAAGCUCAUCGAGAGGCUGACUUACCACAUGUAUGCAGAUCCCAACUUUGUUCGGACUUUUCUCACAACAUAUAGAUCCUUCUGUAGACCUCAAGAGUUGCUGAGUUUGCUAAUAGAAAGAUUUGAAAUCCCAGAGCCUGAGCCAACGGAAGCCGACCGUAUUGCCAUGGAGAACGGAGACCAGCCUCUCAGUGCAGAGCUAAAAAGAUUUAGAAAAGAGUACAUUCAGCCUGUGCAGCUACGAGUAUUAAAUGUGUGUCGACACUGGGUAGAACACCACUUCUAUGACUUUGAACGAGAUGCUGAUCUUCUGAAACGUUUGGAGGAAUUCAUUGGAACCGUUAGAGGCAAAGCCAUGAAGAAAUGGGUUGAAUCGAUCACAAAGAUAAUCAACCGGAAAAAGCAGGCACAAGCCAUCGGGCCCAGUCACAACAUCACUUUUGAGAGCCCACCCCCAGCAAUCGAAUGGCACAUAAGCAAACCAGGACACACUGAGACUUUUGACUUGCUCACUUUGCAUCCCAUAGAAAUUGCUCGGCAGCUCACUUUACUUGAGUCAGAUUUUUACAGAGCUGUGCAGCCAUCAGAACUUGUUGGAAGUGUAUGGACAAAGGAAGAUAAAGAAAUUAAUUCUCCCAACCUUCUCAAAAUGAUAAGGCAUACAACUAACCUCACUUUGUGGUUUGAAAAAUGCAUUGUAGAAACAGAAAACCUAGAGGAAAGAGUAAUUGUAGUGAGCCGGAUAAUUGAGAUCCUGCAAGUUUUUCAAGAGCUGAACAACUUCAAUGGUGUCCUUGAGAUUGUCAGUGCUAUGAACUCCGCAGCAGUGUAUAGGUUGGAUCACACAUUUGAGCAAAUUCCAAGUCGCCAGAAGAAGAUUUUAGAAGAAGCUUAUGAGCUGAGUGAGGAUCAUUAUAAGAAAUACUUGGCAAAACUCAGGUCCAUUAAUCCUCCUUGUGUGCCUUUUUUUGGGAUUUACUUAACUAACAUUUUGAAAACAGAAGAAGGCAAUCCUGAAUUUCUGAAGCGACACGGGAAGGAACUUAUAAACUUCAGCAAGAGAAGAAAGGUAGCUGAAAUAACAGGAGAGAUACAGCAGUACCAGAACCAGCCAUAUUGUUUAAGAGUGGAAUUUGACAUCAGGAGAUUUUUCGAAAACCUGAAUCCAAUGGGAAGCAGUGUGGAGACAGAAUUUACAGAUUAUCUGUUCAACAAGUCACUAGAGAUAGAGCCAAGAAAUGUCAAGCCUCCUCCAAGAUUUCCCAAAAAGUACAGCUAUCCUCUCAAGUCCCCAGGUGUUCGUCCUUCUAAUCCAAGGCCAGGUACCAUGAGACAUCCUACACCUCUGCAACAGGAGCCAAGGAAAAUUAGUUACAGCCGCAUCCCAGAGAGCGAGACUGAAGCUACAGCAUCUGCACCAAACUCUCCCCGAACACCUCUGACCCCUCCCCCUGCUUCUGCCACUUCAAGCACCACAGACGCCUGCAGUGUGUUCGACUCCGAUCCUUCGAGUCCCUUUCAUACAAGAUCUGCUUCUGUGUCAUCCAUAAACUUUACCAAAAAUUCAGAUGAUGCUCCUGUCCCUCCUCCAGUUCCUCCACGAAGAAGACCAGAAUCUGCCCCAGCUGAAUCCUCCCCAUCAAAAACAGUACUGGGACAGUAAUGGAUGCCAGUUAUUGAAGAAAAGAAGCUCCGUAAUCCCCUCUACAGUAAGUAUGUGAGGCAUAAAGUAUCUCUUCUUCAGUUAAUAUGGCUCAUGGGACCAAGUAAAAUUCUCUCACAUUUCCUCUUUUGAAGAAAAACACAUUUCAUUGUCCUGGAAAACUGUGUCAGUUAAAAAUGGUAUUAAUUGAAUGAUGAUGGAAAUCACCUUUUUUAGUGCUUUCAGCAAUGCCAUUGAUCAGGGCCCUUUGAUCCUUUAGUGUGGUCAUAACAUUUCAGAAAGCAUUCUGAUUUCAACAAGAAUGACAGUUUUCACCAUAGUCAAAUCUCAAAACUGUCAAUUUCCUUGGUGUCUUUCCUAAUUUUGUUUUGAAACUCUUUUUCUGGCAAAAGAAGAAAAAGUGAAGAUCUCAAAACCUUGGCUUCAGAGGAGAACAUUAUAUGGUAGCUUUGUAAGAACUCUCCAGCCGCAGGAGGUAUAGUUUAGGUUAUCAGUUCUUUGGAUAUAAACACCAUGAUAAACAUACUGUUGGCAAUGUUAUCUAAACUAUUAGCUUAUCAGUAGAUUACCAGGAAAACUCCUUAAAUUUAGACUUUUUGAUCUAUAUUUCUUCUUUGGCACAUUCUUGUCUGCUCUUGUGCAGCCAAGGGAGACCAGGCUGAAGGAACGACCCAUUGGUUAGGUUGCUCAGUGAGGCCUCACGUGGGUCCCGCUAAUCAGAUUUCUUAAAUGUCAGUAGGUCUCUGUUUUCCUAUGUGAAAUGGGGAAUGCCAUUUCGUAUUUGUGGUUGAGGAUAAAAGGAGUUUUACUGGCGAGAUACCCGGACAACAGGUGAUAAUGGCAAGAGCCUAAUGUAAACAUUUGUUGGAUCUCAGCAGAAUGAGUCAGUCCUACAGUGCACAAACCAUGGUGUUUGACUCAGCUGCAAACAGGAAAAACAGGGUGGGAAUCAAACCUGUUGCAUUUAGAACAGGAGUUUUGAGUACAACUGCUAAGCCACUGGUUUAUGUAAUAACAUCUUUGUGUUAAUAAUGACUUCUUAUUUGGACCAUAGUUGCAUUAGUGACAACACUUUUCACAUAGAAAAUUAAAUCAUUUUAAUGAUGCUAUCUUGUCUCCUUGGUAAAAUGACCCUGGAUGAUCUGGUGUGGCCUGGGAUGAUCUCGUAUGGCCUGGACAAUGAAACAUGCUUGUGUGGAGGGUAGGAGCGUUGCUGUAUUACUCUAGAGGGCUGCUGUAUGGCUAAAACACAGCCUAAACAAUUGCAAACUGUGUAGGCAGGGUUAUAAUGGUCAGCAGAACUUUAUAGGUGUGGAACUUUAACAUUUGUGCUGUUUCACCUCCAGGUUUCUCUGCUGUAUAUAGUCUAGUGCAACAGUGGAGCAUAACCUGGGUUUGUUCAUUGUCUUUCAGAGUGUCAUGGUGGCGUCUUAGCUCAGAAAAGCCCUAUGGGAAUUUGGAAGUUCUAGGAUUCCAGGUGCAAGGUCUUUCACCUGGACUGGGGUAACCACUGGUUUCAGUACAGUGGGAGAUGGAAGGGGUUGAGAGCAGCCCUGGGGAGAAGGACUUGGGAGUGUUGGUUGUCGAGACACUCAACAUGACCCGGCAAUGUGCAGUCACAGCCCAGAAAGCCAAAGGUAUCCUGGGCUGUAUCCAAAGCAGUGUGGACAGCAGGUUGAGGAAAUGAUUCUACCCUUCUACUCUGCCCUGGUGAGACCCCACCUGGAGCACUGCAUCCAUCUCUGGGGGCCUCAGCACAGGAAGGAUAUCGACCUGUUGUAGCAGGUCCAGAGGAGGGAAACUUAAGUUGAUCAUAGGGCUGGAACACCUCUCCUAUGAGGAAAGGCUGAGAGAGCUGAGGUUGUUCGGUCUGCAGAAGGCUCUGGGGAGACCUUAUUGUGAUCUUCCAGUAUUUAAAGGGGGCUUAUAAGAAAGAUGGGGACAAGCUUUUUAAUAGGGCCCCUUGCAGUAGGACAGAGAGUAAUGAUUUUAAACUAAAAGAGGGUAGAUUCAGACAAAAUGUAAGGAACAAGUUUUUUACAAUGAGUGUGGUGAACCACUAGCACAGGUUGCCCAGAGAGGUGGUGGAUGCCCCAUCCCUGGCAACAUUCAAGGUCAGACUGGACAGGGCUCUGAGCAGCCAGCUCUAGCUGAAGACGUCCCUGCUCAUUGCAGGGGGUUUGGACUAGAUGGCCUUUAAAGAUCCCUUCCAACCCAACCUGUUGUGAUUCUGUGGUGAUUUUGCAAGUGCCAUGCAUUUGCUUCUGUUCAGUGUGCUCUAAUGGAAAGUCAACUGUUGUGCCGCCUGGUUGACCCCAAGGUACAUGCUGUUGUCAUGGCAUUCAGCAGCCAUUGAAUUUGUCUAUAACUGUCUGCUAAUGGAGAACAUUAUCCUGCUUCAGGGUUGAUACCAUGGAAGCAUUUGAGAGCUUAUCUUCAAGAAACCAUUUCCAGUGGUGACUAACCUGUUUCUCUAAUAUGCCUCUCUUAAAUCAGGGAGGGAGAGGUCUGUCUCAGUAAGAGCAUGCUAAUACACUGGAUUUAGAUCCUUCAAGUUUUAGAUUGACAUUGUGGGAUAUUUAAUGAUUUUUCUUUUGUGUGUAUUUUAAAUUCGAUUUUCUGUUUAAUUGGCCUGAAUCAAGCUUGUUAAUAUCACUGGAGGUACCACUGUUGAAGGUAGUAGAUUAUUGUGCUUCAUGGAAAAAAUUGUUAAAUUGUCAUUUCUAAACCUGGGUGAUGCAUAGGUGAAGCCUUUCUUCAGGAGAGAAACCUGUGGCCCAACAGAGGUGUAAAAAGUGCUUUUAACUUACUUUGAAAAUUCCAUUCCUUGUUUUCCAUUAAAAAAACCCAAAACACACUUAAAUGCAUCUUUUUGUCAGCUCUGAGCAAAUUUACCUUUUGCAUUCAGUGGAAAAUAGUGCGUUAUAAGGGAAACAAAGUAAAGAGUAAGGUUUUUUUGGUUUUUUUUGGUUUUUUGGGUUUUUUUGUUUUUUUUUUUAACUUUCUAGCCAGCAAAUGUGAAAUCCUUUACUGGGUGGCUGAAAAGUUGUAAGGGAAAAAUAAAAUAAAAACCCAUUUGCCAGAUGCAUGACAAUUGAGCUGCCAAAUGUGCAGAACAUCUGUAAUAUUUUUAAAGAGAAGGGUAAACAAAGGUCACGUUACUGGAAUUGCUUUGGACAAAAUUGUUGAAUCUGAUUUGAAAUGAGCCUUCUUUUGUUUCUGAGAAGAACAAAUCUUAGGUUUCAAUAAGUUUGUUCCAUUUGCCUUUAUCUGAUGCCAUGGUUACUUACCAAAAUGAGUAAAUGUUAAAAGUUUUGUCAUCUGAUUAUUAAAAAAAAAAGAAAAAAAAAGAAAAAAAAAGCCCAAAUGAACAAAAGAAAAAAGAGAGAAAAAGAAGUGGUAAUCUGUAGCUGGUGUAUCUGAUGAUCCGUGUAUGUAACCAUCUGUAGGUGAUCUUUGUAUGCUGUGUCUGCAGUGAUAUUCAGAUUGCAUUUGAGUGAAAAUUUAGUAGUGACUGUUACCUUUUGACAUUAAAAGAUAUGUUCUAAAGCUAAUUUAAAAAAAAAGAAAAGCCUUACGUAUCCCAGAAGUGUACACUUAGAUUAUGUAAGAUACACUGACAGUCCUUGUAGUCUGAGACUGGCUUCCUUAGGCUUAAAUACUGGGUGUUUUAUAUUAAGGACAGUUGUGAGUCUGCUACAGGGGUAGGUUUUGCUUGGGAUAGUAAAAUACUAAAAAAAUGCAGCAGUUUGUAAGCAGAGGAGCCAUAUGAAGUAGAAGACAAGUAAGGAAUGUCUACAUACAGUAGGAGACAUAAAAUAGCAUCUUCUAACUGUGUUGUUCUCUACCCCAGGUUGUUUAUUGUAGGUGUUACUCCAGCUCAGCGGCUUUCUGUUACAACUUUACUGUGUCAAAGGAUUUGCACCCUAUGGAUUCUGAGCAGGUACAAGGACAUCGCAAAUGAUAAGUGUAGGACUGGAAGUAAGAACUCAUACAGAAUCAGAAAGAAAAAAACAUCAAUUUUGACUGUGCCUUAAAUCACUAAAACAGAAGGUAAAAUCCACAUGCAUUUUACAAGCAAGGGUCUGCCACUUCGGAAGGAUUUCCUUACCCAGGAGAUGUUAGCAGCUAGGUUUUUUCCUUUGUCCUGUUUCUGUCCUGGCAUCUGCCUGGCAAGUGUGAAAACCAGGUUUGUUCUAUGAAGGACAGAAGUGUCAUUACAUAUAUGAGACCAAAGACACCAAACAUCAGAGCCCUUGACAGCAUCAGUGCAAUACAGUGGACACUUGUCCAUAAUUGUACAACUCUGGUUCCAUGGACAAACAAAUAGUUCUGUCUAUGGCUGAUUCUUUUGCAGAACAAACAGGCUUUGCUGAUGCUUCAGUUACAAGUAUCUGGCUCUUUAUGUAUUUCUAUCCUGGCCCUACACAGUCUGACUGAAAGCUACCAAGUCCUAGGAAUUGUCUUUGUGAUUCAGUGGCUGGUCAGCAUGGAGCAAUCCUGACUGGAAAGGGCUAGAGAAUUUGUAAUUUAAUGAGGAUGUGAGGGAGAGGGAAAGAACGGAAGGGUGGGGUUUUUUGCCAUUAAAAGCCUUAAAUUAAAAAAAAAAAAUCUUCCCAGAGUAGUUUCCUAAAGCUAGGGGAGGAAAGUAUCAUACUUCUUUCCUCUUUGUAAGGAGGAGAAUUGACUUUUAGUUUCAUUGAAAUUUAUGGGACAGGCACCAGCUAAAACAUUUUAAUCUCUGGGGUUUUCCUUGGUCACAUUCUUGAAAUGUUGGGAAAACUCCAAUUGCAAUAAAGGAUGGAUUUCAUCUGUCUUAGGUGCCCUUUUCACACACACCUCUUUGCUUCCACCAGAAGAGGAAAAGCAGGUGGUAAAUGCAGGUCAGUCAACACUGUGAGAGAGCUCUAGGCCCUGCAUCUGUGGUGGGUAUUAGCCACUGCAUCCAAGCCUGCUCUGAGGCUUUCCUGUGCUGUUGCCACUGCCAGGAGAGCCAUGCAGCAUGAUGAGAACUCUGGCACCAAAUUCAGUCACCCUUGUGCUGAUGCUGAGAGUCCCAAGCCCCUAAUCUCACAGCCUUGCAUAUUUCCCCCAAGACAUUGCUGUUGGCCCCACAGAGACAGUUCACAACCUCUUAAGGUGAAGCUGUCCUUUAAGACAAACCAGUCUCCCAAGCUUUUCAAAACAAGGUGAUAAAACCACAUUUCCUCUUGAAAGUGCCCUCAGAAUGCCCCAGCUUCAGGUAGCACCACAGUUCACCAGUAGUACUCCACUGGUAACACCACUGCACCAGUGGUGCCCUUGCUGCUGGGGUGUGACAUGGGUGUUGCUUCAGAGGGCUGUGUUUCCAUACAAAAGCUACAGUCUUCUGCAGAGAUCAAAGUUGCGGAGGGUUUCUCAUGUCCAAAUGCGAGGAGGGUGGCAUGUGUGUGGCCUUGUUGUUCUGUCCUUGCAGAAGAAGGAGAUACUAUGACUUUGAACAUGGUGCACCAUUGACUUUUCUGCCCCAGAGCCUUUAUUUUUACCUGGAAGAACCAUUCCAAAGCUGCACGUGAUUGGGCUUGUAAGGUGGUGUCAGGCCAAAGAAUUAUUAUCAAAAUGUAUUUCAGAUGUGAUACAGACCAGGAGCCAGGACACUGGUUGACUCUGUCAGUGUCUGCAUUGAUCCACAGUGGGGAUAAGGUCUUUGUCUCUUGUGGCAAUCCCUGGGCUCAGCUUGCAUCACCUGCCUGGAGACAUGGGCAAUUCUGACAGCAGGAGCAGAGAUUCAUACAGCAGGAGGCAAUUCAAUAAACAGGGUGCCACAUAAAAGGUAAAGGAGGAUUUUGGGGAAUGAUUGAAGUCCAAAAGAAAGGAUGUUGCUGUUUAAGCAGUACAAUACUCAGGUGCUUCAGCUGAUGCUCCUUAGACCUUCUCAAACCACCCAGGUAAUGCGAGCUGGCCUCCUGGAAGACAUCUUUGAUGGCGCAUUUUUUGGGAAAGCAGAGGAAAGAAGGGAAUUUUAGACUUCUGGCCAGGAUGCCAGGGCUGCAAAGGUAACCCUUCUGUUGUGGGUGAGCCCAAAUAAGACCUGGCAUGAGUUUGGAAGAGCAAAGAUGUAUGGCAAAUCAAGCGGUUUUGGGGGAUGAGGGGGAGGAGAAGAUAGUGGGAUUCAGCCAAAGCUUUCCAAAACUGAGGGAAGUUAAGUCAGGCAGGGAUGAAAGCUAGCAAGUUCCUGUGCUUUUUGGACAUGCUGUUUGAGCUCCACUGCAACCCAAAGCCUGGCCCUGCCCUGUGCUAGAAAGAGCAGGAUGCGUUUGUAAGGCAGUUGUGACAGUCUCCUCUCCCCCACCCCUCCACCCUCUGUGUUAGUCAGGGGAACCUUGGGGCCUUGCUGUCUGUCUCCACCCUCGGGGACCUGGGGAAGCACUGUUGUGUUUAGGCUGUGGCCUGCCUUUCUUGGGGCUGCUUAUUUCUUUUUGAAGAGCUUGCGGAAGGAGCUCCGGAAACCCCCUUUGGGCUCGUGCCGCGGGUUGUGGUCGCUGAAGGAUGUUUGCUCAUUGUCAUCCUUCUGGCAGAACCUGGUGUUGUCUUCUGCAUGGAGCUCCUAAAAGGGAAAAGACAAUUUAACCAGCAUUUGCAACCUCACAUUCUUGUUCCCUUCUCUCUUUCUCUGUCUCUCUGUGCUAGGAGGGACCUGGUGAGUGAGGAGGUGCUGGCAAGGCUGGGAAACAACAGGUCACUUGGGCCUCAGGAACACUGGUACCUCUGCAGAGACCUUGUUGCUGGCUCUGAGGCUGAGGCAGUGACAGAGGAGUAGAAGGAUAAGCUUUGUUAGAGGGAACUGGAGCCUUUCUUGCUAAGCUUUUUGUUUAGGGAGAGCUUACUAUCUCCUUUUGCCAGUGAGGGAGCAAGCCAGCCUGGGCAGUUGGAAAAACUUCCCACCCUCUCCUUUCUCCCCUAGGGCAGGGAGGCUUCAGGCUUCUUGAGCUGUGAUAUGUUGUAAAAGACUCUUCUGCUGGCUCUGCUGCUGCGUGGUUUUAUAUCUGUGGGGCAGAAGACUUCAUUAGCACACAAAGCUUCUGGUAAAUGUGCCUCUAAAAGAUCUUUCCCUCUUUCAGGAGAGUGCCAAGCUCCUCUCAGCAAGACUCUGGACAAGACCCUUUUCUCCAGUUCUGCCCACCACUGCCAUGGUGACCUCCUUUGCUAUGUGAGGGAGAACGUAUCCUGCAGUUCUGGACAAGCUCCACAUCUGCACCCUGCUGUGGGCCACAGCUCUGUGCAGACGACUUCCACUGCUGCUCCGUGUGCUGUAGAGUCUGGUGCUCACACCCUCAGCGCUCCUCGGCAGCUCCUUCAGAGACCUGCUCAGCUGCUUGCCUUUGCUGUGGAACAUCUCACGCUUGUCUUCAUUGCAUUGGAAGAGGAGACUAUAGUGUGAGAUGAAAACCCGGAGGCGCUGCACACACACCAGCAGCAGGUAAUAGUCAGGAUGCUCUUGCUCCGUGAACUUCAGGACAUUCUGAGGCACAGAGGAGAGCAGGCUGUUUGGAGGGUGUCCUAACCCUUUCUUGGUAGAAGGUGCCACUGGAACCAUGGAUUAGUGCUCUGGAGUGCACAUGGCACUGCCCUUUGGGAGCUUUUCUAGGCAGCAUCAGUUUCUCAGGGACUUGGAUGGGGCCUGUCUCCUGCUACUCCAGUGGAAAUGCACAAGUAACCACGUGGAAUGUGUGGGUGAUGCACUGGUUGAGCUUAGCUUUGGAUAAAUAAACCAAUGUCUUGGCUUUA